This 308-nucleotide ribosomal RNA is filed under the name uncultured bacterium. RNAcentral's name for it is "partial 16S ribosomal RNA". It matches the Rfam family "Bacterial small subunit ribosomal RNA", at positions 505 to 807 of the family's 1533-position model. The record is from RNAcentral.
GAGACAGCAGCCGCCGCGGUAAUACGUAGGGUGCAAGCGUUAAUCUGAAUUACUGGGCGUAAAGCGUGCGCAGGCGGUUAUAUAAGACAGAUGUGAAAUCCCCGGGCUCAACCUGGGAACUGCAUUUGUGACUGUAUAGCUAGAGUACGGCAGAGGGGGAUGGAAUUCCGCGUGUAGCAGUGAAAUGCGUAGAUAUGCGGAGGAACACCGAUGGCGAAGGCAAUCCCCUGGGCCUGUACUGACGCUCAUGCACGAAAGCGUGGGGAGCAAACAGGAUUAGAUACCCGAGUAGUCCCUGUCUCUUAUAC